Molecule: ribosomal RNA, 251 nt
Filed under: uncultured prokaryote
Description: partial 16S ribosomal RNA
Rfam family: Bacterial small subunit ribosomal RNA
Source: RNAcentral
UACGGAGGAUGCGAGCGUUAUCCGGAUUUAUUGGGUUUAAAGGGUGCGUAGGCGGCUUUUUAAGUCAGCGGUGAAAUUUUGCAGCUUAACUGUAACAGUGCCGUUGAUACUGCAUGGCUAGGAUUUGGUUGCUGUGGGUGGAAUGUGUGGUGUAGCGGUGAAAUGCUUAGAUAUCACACAGAAUAUCAAUUGCGAAGGCAGCUCACAAAGCCAAGAUUGACGCUGAGGCACGAAAGUGUGGGGAUCAAACA